GAUGAACGCUAGCGGCAGGCCUAAUACAUGCAAGUCGAGGGGUAGAUGGGGCUUGCUCCAUUGAGACCGGCGCACGGGUGCGUAACGCGUAUGCAACCUACCUUGAUCUGGGGGAUAGCCCGGAGAAAUCCGGAUCAACACCGCAUAAAACCACAGCAGGACAUCCUGCAAUGGUCAAACAUUCAUGGGAUCAGGAUGGGCAUGCGUGCCAUUAGCUUGUUGGCGGGGUAACGGCCCAUCAAGGCUACGAUGGCUAGGGGAUCUGAGAGGAUGGCCGCCCACACUGGUACUGGGACACGGACCAGACUCCUAGGGGAGGCAGCAGUAAGGAAGAUUGGUCAAUGGUGGCAACGCGGAACCAGCCAUGCCGCGUGCAGGAAGACGGCCCGCCGGGUUGUAAACUGCUUUUAUCCGGGAAUAAACCUAUCUACGUGUAGUUAGCUGAAUGUACCGGAGGAAUAAGGAUCGGCUAACUCCGUGCCAGCAGCCGCCGUAA
RNAcentral lists this ribosomal RNA (496 nucleotides) under uncultured bacterium. RNAcentral describes it as "partial 16S ribosomal RNA". It matches the Rfam family "Bacterial small subunit ribosomal RNA", at positions 28 to 523 of the family's 1533-position model. The record is from RNAcentral.